Arachis ipaensis is the source of this 661-nucleotide non-coding RNA. NCBI's taxonomy places the organism in Eukaryota, Viridiplantae, Streptophyta, Magnoliopsida, Fabales, Fabaceae. The record is from RefSeq and is a predicted model, not a curated record.
CAGAUUUGGGGGAGAGGAGAGCUUCCCAAACUCUCACCAUCAUUUUAAUUCACCAUAACUUCUCCGUUUGAGUUCCGAUCGCCGUACUGUUUGCGGCCACGUGUCCAGCGCAUCGAGCUCUACAUUUAUGUCGGAUCAAUUUUACUGGUUCGAUUUAGCUUGCAGAGCUUAUCAGGUUUGAGUUGCUAUGCAUCUGGGUGCGGUGUGAAUUAAGUAUAUAUUUAUGCAUUGGAAUUGAACGGUGGGCAUUUAGAGGCUUGGUGGAUGAUUGGUGCUAAGAUUUUAGUUGAUUUCUCAAGCUUGAGGGGUUGUGGAUGUGACUAGUGUGGCUGCCUUGGACCAAACAUAGUGAUCGGCCAAGAUGCAGGUCGAGCGGCUCCUCGCUAGGCAUCUGGAUCCCUGAAGCGGAGUAGUCCCUAGGUUAUUUUGGGUUUACAGUUUGUAUAUGUAUGGUAAUAUGUGUUAGCUUGCUCUCCAAGAAACUUAAUCAUUUUGUUCCUCAUAGAGGUUGAGGGAGAGUUAGGGUCUCUUUUCUGUAUUUUGAGUAUUUUGGGAUACCUGUAUAUGUAUGUAUAUAUAUUCUCCGGCCAGCCUUGGCUUCGCAAGCUGAGUCAGGAGCUAGUUAUGCUGUACUCUUGGCUCUCUAUUCUUUUUUUUGCUU